AAAAACAUUUCUUCUUGAUUCGAUAGGAAGUAAAGUCUGCCCACUGAAUUAAUUUAAAGGGCCGCGGUAUUUUGACCGUGCAAAGGUAGCAUAAUCAUUAGUCUUUUAAUUGGAGAAUGGAAUGAAUGGCUUCAUGAUGUAAAUCUUUUUAAGGGGCAAGAUAAAAAAUUUGAUAAAAAGUGAAAAUACUUUUAUAAUAAAAAAAGACGAUAAGACCCUUUAGAAUUUUAUUUAACCAUGUGAAGGGUUAAAUUUAAUUGGGGCAGUUGAAGAAUUAAUUUAAUUUCUUUAAAAAUAAUUUUUAAUAAAAAAAAUUUUUCUUAAAUUUUAAAAAAUUUAAAAAAUUACCUUAGGGAUAACAGCGUAAUUAAUAUUGAGAGUUCAGAUCGACAUAUUAUUUUGCGACCUCGAUGUUGAAUUAAAAUACCUAAAUGGGGCAGAAUUUAUUUAAGGUAGUCUGUUCGACUAUAAAAUUUUUACAUGAUUUGAGUUCAGACCGGA
RNAcentral lists this ribosomal RNA (501 nucleotides) under Pogonognathellus sp. T1 ADK-2018. RNAcentral's name for it is "partial 16S ribosomal RNA". It matches the Rfam family "Bacterial large subunit ribosomal RNA", at positions 1809 to 2620 of the family's 2925-position model. The record is from RNAcentral. Lineage: Eukaryota; Metazoa; Arthropoda; Collembola; Entomobryomorpha; Tomoceridae.